RNAcentral lists this non-coding RNA (96 nucleotides) under unclassified sequences. RNAcentral describes it as "pemK RNA". It matches the Rfam family "pemK RNA". The record is from RNAcentral.
AUAAUGAUACUCCUGUCUAGCCACAGUCCGAGCGUUAAGAGCGUCGCAGGCAAUGGGGACAGCUCGGAGAAACUCGGAGAGGUAAAAUUCCUGUGG